GAGCUGCGCAGGGAGAAGCGGCAGCUGAGGAAAGCGCGGCGCCUGCAGAGGACCGCGGGCCUCGGGGACCGGGAGGGGGGCACCGGCCGCAUGCGGGGCCCGGCUAAGGACCUGACGACCUCGGUGACCCCGACUAAGGACCGGAUGACCCCGGAGGCCCGGGCUAAGGACCGCAAGACCCCGGCGACCCGGGCCACGGCUCCGGGUACCCUCGGGAAGCCCCGACCCGCCGGCGCCGCCGCCGCCCGGAAGCGGGCCCUUCUAGCGGCCAACGAGGAGGAGGACCGAGAGAUCCGGAAGCUGGAGCGAUGCCUCGGUCUGAACAAGCGCAGGAAGAAGGGCGACAGCAGCUCGGUGCUGCUCAGCUUUGCCCGGGACGGCUUGGACUACAUCCUGGGAGCCCUGGAGCCCGGGAGAGGCGGCUGCUUGUACGAAAGCAGCGAGGGGGAGGGGGAGGAGGGAGAGGCCGGACAGACCCUCCCCGAGAGUGACCUAGAGAGCAGCUCGGGGGACAGUGAGGACGACUCUGACGCGGGAGCGCAGCCGGAGGACCAGGAGGAUGGAGACCAGCAAAGCGAGGAAGCAGCUGAAUGUGGCGCGCGAGGAAAUAAAGGGACUAAGAGAGUCCGUUUUGCAGAAGCCGUAGAAGAGAGGGAAGGUUCUGCAGAAGAUGACAAAGAGCAUCAGGAGAAUCAGAGUGUUGGAAAUACUGGUGACAAGUACGUCCCACCUCGUGUGAGGGUAGAGGAGACGCUGGAUGUCCACAAGAAGGAAGAGCUGGAAAGACUUAAGAAGCAGGUCAAAGGCCUGAUUAACAGGUAACCUUCCAGAGCUGUGUAGUCUACCCCUUCAGGAGGUUGUCUUCCUAAACAUAAA
Molecule: long non-coding RNA, 876 nt
Filed under: Nannospalax galili (Upper Galilee mountains blind mole rat)
Lineage: Eukaryota; Metazoa; Chordata; Mammalia; Rodentia; Spalacidae
Description: lncRNA (ENSNGAG00000024564.1)
Source: RNAcentral